GUUCUCUCGUCAAUGG
RNAcentral lists this small RNA (16 nucleotides) under Arabidopsis thaliana (thale cress). RNAcentral's name for it is "ATSL004830". The record is from RNAcentral. Lineage: Eukaryota; Viridiplantae; Streptophyta; Magnoliopsida; Brassicales; Brassicaceae.